GAUGAACGCCGGCGGUGUGCCUAAUACAUGCAAGUCGAACGCGUUGGCCUAAUUGAUUGAUGGUGCUUGCACCUGAUUGAUUUUGGUCGCCAACGAGUGGCGGACGGGUGAGUAACACGUAGGUAACCUGCCCAGAAGCGGGGGACAACAUUUGGAAACAGAUGCUAAUACCGCAUAACAGCGUUGUUCGCAUGAACAACGCUUAAAAGAUGGCUUCUCGCUAUCACUUCUGGAUGGACCUGCGGUGCAUUAGCUUGUUGGUGGGGUAACGGCCUACCAAGGCGAUGAUGCAGAGCCGAGUUGAGAGACUGAUCGGCCACAAUGGGACUGAGACACGGCCCAUACUCCUACGGGAGGCAGCAGUAGGGAAUCUUCCACAAUGGGCGCAAGCCUGAUGGAGCAACACCGCGUGAGUGAAGAAGGGUUUCGGCUCGUAAAGCUCUGUUGUUAAAGAAGAACACGUAUGAGAGUAACUGUUCAUACGUUGACGGUAUUUAACCAGAAAGUCACGGCUAACUACGUG
This 523-nucleotide ribosomal RNA is filed under the name uncultured bacterium. RNAcentral's name for it is "partial 16S ribosomal RNA". It matches the Rfam family "Bacterial small subunit ribosomal RNA", at positions 28 to 507 of the family's 1533-position model. The record is from RNAcentral.